Mugil cephalus (flathead mullet) is the source of this 1017-nucleotide long non-coding RNA. RefSeq lists it as uncharacterized. The transcript has 2 exons. The record is from RefSeq and is a predicted model, not a curated record. NCBI's taxonomy places the organism in Eukaryota, Metazoa, Chordata, Actinopteri, Mugiliformes, Mugilidae.
AGGUAAGCUUAUAUCUAGCUUUUGUGUUUGUUGCAAGGUUUGCUCUUAUAGCAAGUGCAAUGACAGUCAUCAAUUGAUAAUCCACAAAAACUGUUCUUGUGAUUCUUGUAGGUGGCAGUAAAGCCGGAUCCUCUCUUCGAGACCUAGAAACUCAAGUGGCAAGCUGUGGGAAUGUUUCUGAUUCACAGAACAUCUGCACUAACACCAUGGACCUUCGAGAGGGGGAUCGAGGAGGCCCUCUGCUGUGCAAGUCAGACACAUCUUGGUUCCAGGUAGCUGCUGUAACAAUGAGUGGGAGUAAAUCGGCCCGUGCAGAUGUCCAGGUCUUUUUCAAGACUUCAAGAUUUGGAUCAUUCAUUGAAAAGACAGUGGGGGAUCUGCCUUCUCCUGCAGCAGUUCUAACAGCAGGUUCACCACGUUUUUCAUUGUCUCUAUUCCUGUCUUUCUCCGUCCCCAUAACCUCAAUGUCUCUUUUGUCUGUGUUGAUGUAGGCGGUUGACCCACUGAAGUGACAGCAGUGAAAUCUCUCUGUAACCUCUGAUUUAUAUACUUACAUACAGUAAUGAAAACAAAUCUUCACAUGAGGUAUUUCCAAAGAAGUUUAAAUUCUAAAAAUGUAAAGCAAUAAAGAGCAAUAACGGACAUUUUUUAAUGAAUCCAGUUAAAUGAAGGAAAGUUUUAAAUUAUUCUAUUCACUGCUGUUACCUAGUGUUGACAAAUGUAUUUUAAUUUAGUCAUAUUUAUAUAAUAAAUACAGAUCAAUCAUACAAUAAAUGUCCUUUUAUUUCAUUUCAGAAUUCUUACACCAGUUCACAAUGUCAAUAUAAAAAAUAUUCAAACAGUAGUACCCAGCUGUUAAGCAUGUUCUUCAAAGGUUUUACAGUACAUUAUUUGAUGAAACAGGUUAUCUUGUAAAGAAGUUUUAAAUUCUACACAAUUAAUACACAAUAUUUGCAAAAAUAUAGAUACAGAAAGGUUUCUUUGGUCAGAGUCUUAAUAAGCUGCUCAGUUCAAACU